Molecule: unclassified non-coding RNA, 222 nt
Filed under: plant metagenome
Description: partial contains small subunit ribosomal RNA and internal transcribed spacer 1
Rfam family: Eukaryotic small subunit ribosomal RNA (bases 1-46)
Source: RNAcentral
AAGUCGUAACAAGGUUUCCGUAGGUGAACCUGCGGAAGGAUCAUUAAUGGGUUUACCGCCUCCGGGCGAAACUCCACCCUUUGUAACCGCGGCCCGGAUUCGGCGCCUGGCGGGGGACCACCCCCCGCCUCGCGGGGGCCCCGGGCCCUGCCCGGCAAUUAAUGCCAACCCCACCUGCCCUUUGAAAAUUUGAAGUCUGAGAACAAGUUAAACUAAACAAAA